ACGAACGCUGGCGGCGUGCUUAACACAUGCAAGUCGAACGGUGACCCAGGGCUUGCCCUGGUGAUCAGUGGCGAACGGGUGAGUAACACGUGGGCAACCUGCCCCUGACUUCGGGAUAACUCCUCGAAAGAGGAGCUAAUACCGGAUACGACCACUUCGGACAUCCGAUGGUGGUGGAAAGUUUUUCGGUCAGGGAUGGGCCCGCGGCCUAUCAGCUAGUUGGUGGGGUAAUGGCCUACCAAGGCGACGACGGGUAGCCGGCCUGAGAGGGCGACCGGCCACACUGGGACUGAGACACGGCCCAGACUCCUACGGGAGGCAGCAGUGGGGAAUAUUGCGCAAUGGGCGAAAGCCUGACGCAGCGACGCCGCGUGAGGGAUGAAGGCCUUCGGGUUGUAAACCUCUUUCAGCAGGGACGAAGCGAAAGUGACGGUACCUGCAGAAGAAGCACCGGCUAACUACGUG
Molecule: ribosomal RNA, 465 nt
Filed under: uncultured bacterium
Lineage: Bacteria
Description: bacterial SSU rRNA
Rfam family: Bacterial small subunit ribosomal RNA
Source: RNAcentral